Long non-coding RNA from Engraulis encrasicolus (European anchovy), 3684 nucleotides. RefSeq lists it as uncharacterized. The transcript has 6 exons. The record is from RefSeq and is a predicted model, not a curated record. NCBI's taxonomy places the organism in Eukaryota, Metazoa, Chordata, Actinopteri, Clupeiformes, Engraulidae.
CUAAACAUUGGACGUCGUAUAGACGUUGAAAUUAGGUCUAAAUUGCGUCCGUCGGUCCAUGACCAGUUUUGGACCUUAGAAUGACGUACAAACUAGGUCCUUUAUUUGGACGUCUAAUAAUGACCCUAUUUGUACGUCAUUAUGAAGUUCAAAAUUCGGACGUCAGUCUAGGUCACUUUUUUGGACGUCAAAAACAGGUGAGGGAAAUCGACAUGAUUGUUGUUGUUGAUGUUGCUUUUUUUUUUUUUUUGCUUUGUUUUUAAAUAGGCCAUAGUAGUUUUCCUAGUAGGCUAUUUUUUCUGUUCACAUCGGGUGGGGAAAGAGUGUGUGGCAAUCCCAAACUAGAGAUACUCUCCAACGUGCAAUGCACGGUGGGACACACUGCCUAAACAGAUGUGUCAAAAAAAAUAACACAUUGGGAUGUGUAGACAGCAUUGACAGAUUAUGUGUCAUUUCUGUGUAAUAUUUCACAGAAUGUGUGAAACCUGAAGUUAAGAGGUUCAUUUCUGGGUCGUGCUACAAGUGAGAAACUAACGGCCGUUUGGCUGUCCAAUCGCGUGACUGGACAUUUGAAAGCAGACUUCCGCCCGCCUUUUCUACCGUUGGAAAUGCAAGAUGCGGUGACUUCACUUGACUUCAGACACCGAGAGAGGCUGGCGGCCCAGGUCUUGUGGCCACAUCUGUCCAAGCUCCUACUCUGAUUGAACAGUUAGAUGAUCAGACUGAUGGUAAGUGUGUGUGUGUGUGUGUUUCCAUGUGUAUCAUAUUAUUUAUGUGAUCAUGUGUCUAAUUGCCAUCCACUUACAGGCCCUCUGCCUCCUUUCAUUUGUUUUUUUAGAUUUUUUUUCAGAUUUUUUUUUCUUAUUGUUGUAUUGUAUGCAAUUGUGAUAAAUAUGUUACUGUGAUAUUGUUAUAACACAGAUACUUUGGUAAAUGUGAAAUUUAAGUACUGCUGUACAAUUUUCUCCUCUCAUUUUCAGAUGAAAAGUGCUACACAGUUCUCACACAUCUUCUGACUCCGAAGCCGCUGCAGUGUAAAAUCUGAGAUGUCUUUUCUGGUUGACUUUGUGCAGGUAUUUUUCAAAGGAUAGUUACUUUUAAAACGUCUUAAUCUCUAAAAACACUUUCAUGCAGAGCCUCUGUUAGGACCUCAUUGCGAUACAUGUUAUGACCUUGUCACCAAAAUGUCAAUGACCAUAUUUUAACCUGCUAUUUAAGGCUGUCAUAGCCAUAUUCUUAUAACAAUGCAGUUAAGUUCAAGAGAACUAUAGUUUGGUGAUAUGGAUCCCAAACGGAAGGGAACAGCAGCGGUUUGUAGUUGUAGAGAACUAAUUAGCGCCAAGUGUUGUUAACCUGUUGUUUCUUGUUUACCUUUCACAGUAGCCCAUAGCACUUUUGUCAUAGAGAGCAACUUGGUCAGUAAAUAUGUGCCUGCUGUAUAAAGUAGCAGUAUUUGGAUGAGUUACAGCUAACACGGCAAACUUGAGACUGUAUAUUGUGUGUUUGACAGAUUUCUGACAGCGACAGCGAUGGUGAGGGAAGCAGUGUACCGAACUCUCAGAUGACUCGGACCAGGUGACCAAACCCAUGCAAAGCACAAUGACUGUGCUGAGGCGUUCCGCCCCCCUCCCCCUCCACACCACUCAAGGCACUGCGGCGGCCCAACCGCAAACUAACGGAGAUUAACAUGAGGCUGGAUGCGCUUGGCUCCCUGCUGCGUCCAUCACCAGAGGGGCCGGGAUUGCUGCGGCAGCUAGCCAAUUAAAGGAGGAGGAUGAAGGAGAGGAGUCUGACGAUGCAGACAUCGCCAUCGUAUGCAGUCCACGCCCUCGCAGGAAAACCAGCCAAUGAAAACGCUUGCAGCAGCAUCAGCAGAACACACCGGCACGACUGACAGAGCUUCUGAAGCAUGCAGUGGAAGAGCUGUCAGUCAAGCUAAAGGUCCCGCCCUCCAACCUGCUGCUGCUGCACGGACAGGCGGAACUUAACACCUCACACACUAUUGGCCAGCUAGGACUCUGCAUCGCUGACAUCUUUGUCUGGAACCAACUUCACAUCCCUCUUCACUGCACUACUGACACUGAGAUGGAAUCCACAACCCAACCACUAGUGAUCUGCAUUGGGAACCUGAAGAGUCUGUCAUAACCGCCAGGAAUGACCGUGUGACCAUUCCCGUUGCAGACGGCCUGACUUGCACAAUUGACAAGCUGUUCAAGCUUUACUGGGUCUGCAACUUGUUAUAUCCAGCACAGCUCAGCUCUGUUUUCACCUUCUUUGAAUAUGUUUAUGACGCUCCCAUCUCAACCAACAAACGAACAAAGGCACUACAACUUCUCUCAAAGCUUCCCAGCAGCCCAGUGAUCACAACAUGUGUUUAUGCCCAAAAUGUAAAUAGUUACUACAGACAUCAAGAAAGUAGUUUGGCAUCUUUGUCAAGUACACGCUUUGUCAGAUGCACAGGAUAUGAUGAUAAUUUGCAGCCAAGAUGGCUGUUCAAGUGUACAAGGACUUACUAUGUAGACACCACCUCCGUAGACAACACCAGUCCACAACAACAGAAAUGGGAGUAUCUUUCAAUGACUCUUUUGAAUCCACUGACAUUCAGACAGCCUAUGCAGCUUCAAGUAACACCUGAAGAAAGAGCAUUUUGUGUCCCUUCUCAAGGACCGAUUCUCCAUAAUUUACCACUUAAUGACAAUUUAUCUGUGUUCAUGCUUGUUAGGAUUAUUACAGGGAAUUAUUUUGAUUAUCAUUUUGGCAACACUUUAUUUUAUCAUUACAUCUAUUAGCUCUAAUACAUACAGUGUUAAUGCCUGUAUGCUGUAUAAGUAACUUGUAAGGCAUGCACUAAGCAAAAUCAAACAUACGUUAGGCAUGUAUUCGCAAAUGCCUUGUUCAUGCACAAUUUGGGAUUUAUUACCUAAUAUAACCUCAGUAAGGACCUAACAAAUGUUUGAUUUCGCUUAGUACAUGCCUUACAAGUUACUUAUACAGGCAUUAACUCAUUGAUACUGGAUGUUGCGUUGUGCAACAUUGGCCCUGGCGCCUGGAGUUUUGUAUGGCAUCAGCACCCUUUUCUGCAAGUGCUUUAGGCAUCAAUGGGUUAACAUUGUAUGUAUUAGUGCUAAGCGAUGUAAUGUUAAAAUAAAGUGUUACCAUCAUAUUUUUAAAAAAUAUAUAUGUUGUAAAACUGGACGAUUGUGAAAUUAUAUGAUGUGGCAGAUGUAAGACCCAUUGAUGUAAUGCAGAGUUUUCAUUCAGAUGAACUGUCUCUUAACCCAAGGUACAAUGUCUUUUCUUCCAAUAUGUUGGAACCUAUUUCAUAAGAAUGUUAUUUUCAAGAAUAUUUAACACUACUUCGAAUUUCAAGACUUUCGGGUUUUGUAAUACACCGGUAAUGUUGUUAAGAGAUGAUAGUGUACGAGUCAUAAUCAUCAAUACUUCAUGAAAUUCGCAGUGAUGUUAAUUAUUCUUGAAAAAGAUCACAUUUGUUAUCUCCCCCUCUUCUGAAAAGCCUAACAAAAAUAAUAUGACAGUAAAGUUAAUGUAAUGCAAUUUUUUUUUUAAUUGAAUGUAAACACAACUCUACAAAAAAAACGUUGCAGAGGUAUGUAGUCAAGACUUUUGAAGAUUGAACCUUGUAAACAAAAGUGUUUUCUAAAUAAAAGUAAACCCCCCCUGUCA